GGCAGGUGAUGUCUGUUCUCACGAUGGUCUUCGUAUGCCCUGGGGGGCUCUGCCGACUCUUGCCUAAGGCAGUGCUGAUGCCAGCUG
This 87-nucleotide small nucleolar RNA is filed under the name Procavia capensis (Cape rock hyrax). Its description in RNAcentral is "Small nucleolar RNA SNORD35 (ENSPCAG00000018942.1)". It matches the Rfam family "Small nucleolar RNA SNORD35". From Rfam's summary of the family: U35 is a C/D box snoRNA located in intron 6 of ribosomal protein L13A and intron 3 of ribosomal protein S11 in humans and at homologous positions in mouse and chicken ribosomal protein genes. U35 guides the methylation of 2'-O-ribose sites in 28S rRNA. Lineage: Eukaryota; Metazoa; Chordata; Mammalia; Hyracoidea; Procaviidae. The record is from RNAcentral.